AACAUCGCGCACCUGCGGGAACCUGCGGAAGGAUCAUUACCGAGUUUACAAACUCCCAAACCCUUUGUGAACCUUACCUAUCGUUGCUUCGGCGGGAUCGCCCCGGGCCGGCCCUUCACGGGGCCUCCGGAACCAGGCGCCCGCCGGAGAACCCAAACUCUUUGUUUUUAUGGUUUUCUCCUCUGAGUGGAUUAUAAACAAAUAAAUCAAAACUUUUAGCAACGGAUCUCAGAUCGGAAG
RNAcentral lists this unclassified non-coding RNA (240 nucleotides) under soil metagenome. RNAcentral describes it as "partial contains 5.8S ribosomal RNA, internal transcribed spacer 2, and large subunit ribosomal RNA". The record is from RNAcentral.